Molecule: ribosomal RNA, 496 nt
Filed under: uncultured bacterium
Lineage: Bacteria
Description: partial 16S ribosomal RNA
Rfam family: Bacterial small subunit ribosomal RNA
Source: RNAcentral
GAUGAACGCUAGCGGGAGGCUUAACACAUGCAAGUCGAGCGGCAAUCCCGAGCAAUCGGGACUAGAGCGGCGCACGGGUGAGUAACGCGUAUGCAACCUGCCUUUUACAGGGGGAUAGCCCGGAGAAAUCCGGAUUAAUACCCCAUGGAACUAUAAAGCCGCAUGGUUUAAUAGUUAAAGAUUUAUCGGUAAGAGAUGGGCAUGCGUGACAUUAGCUAGUUGGCGGGGUAACGGCCCACCAAGGCUACGAUGUCUAGGGGUUCGGAGAGGAUGAUCCCCGACCCUGGUACUGGGACAGGGACCAGACUCCUACGGGAGGCAGCAAUGAGGAAUAUUGGUCAAUGGGCGCAAGCCUGAACCAGCCAUCCCGCGUGAAGGAUGAAUGUACUAUGUAUUGUAAACUUCUUUUCUGCAAAAAGAAAGGGCACUACGUGUAGUGUUUUGACGGUAUUGGAGGAAUAAGCAUCGGCUAACUCCGUGCCAGCAGCCGCCGUAA